CUAACCUCUGUCCCCGUGCUCAACUGCUAUAAAUUUGUAGAGAGAGGUUGAGAUUAUACUGUACUGAUUUUACUUUCUUAUAAUGCUGUCUAACUUUCUCUACUCAUUUCUCUACUCAUCCGCAGCAAAAUUGACUCUGGUAACCGCCUGCUGAUCUCCAAAGCUUUACCCAGUCACAGGGAUAACUCUUCAGUACCUGAAACUAUAAUUGUUUACUUUUUUAACUCAUAAGAUCUUCCAUCUGGUCAGAAAUGUAAAGGCAGUGCAUUAUAAAUCUAUUACAUUCGCAUCGGUAAAAUUAGGUGUUCUUUCCAAAUGCAUUCUCUCUAGAGGGUUGCUCUGCAGAGUUCCUCAGAUGAGCACAAUAAUAUUCUGGAUCUUUUCCAUCAAACUAUGACUGGCUUCAGUGUGAAGAGUAUUGAGAGGGUGCAGAAUCGGAUCCUGUGGGAGGUCUUUUCGUGGCAAGGAGAUGUAAUGAGAAAGACAAACACAGGAAAGGAGAAUAAGAAGCAGCUCUUCCAUGGAACAGACUCUAAACACGUGGACGCUAUAUGCCUGCAGAACAUAGACUGGAGGAUUGGUGGAACACAAGGAACGCUGUAUGGGCAAGAUUAAAUAUCCACACAAUUGUGAGACAAUAUAAUAACCUUACUGUGAAUGAUUGGAGAAUGGAACGUUUCCCCUUUGUAAGCUAAUUCAUGGUUUUAUU
Long non-coding RNA from Coregonus clupeaformis (lake whitefish), 709 nucleotides. RefSeq lists it as uncharacterized. The transcript has 3 exons. NCBI's taxonomy places the organism in Eukaryota, Metazoa, Chordata, Actinopteri, Salmoniformes, Salmonidae. The record is from RefSeq and is a predicted model, not a curated record.